AAUGUAAAAUUGAUGCUAUUAGGUUUUUGAAGCUAAUCCAGACCAGAAAACCGGCCGGUUGACGGUUCGGGUUGGGUUUUAAUGCUGUCGAGUCUUGACUUCCAACUCCUACAUAAGCGUCUAAAUUGCCACGUCAGAUUCAGAAUUCAGAAUUCUUGAACGGCCGCAACAAAUUCCAACAAGGAGAUUUGCUUUUUAUGGAUCCCAGUGCCCUGGAAAAGGAGGCUUCUUUGGAGGUCGCACGUGAAUCGCUUAUUGCCAUCUCGUACUCUGUUCCAGAUACAAUUCUCAGUUCAGUUGUAGUGGAAACUUUGAACACUGGACACCAAGUGGUGGCAACUAACAGUGACGGAGCUGACAAAUUCAGGUCCAAACUGAUCUCCAUUUCUGACCUCCGGUCUCCAGAUAUUGGAAUUAUCAGAUGCAAUGGGCAUCAUGAGAUUAGCUGUGAUCAUAUGUGAGACAUGGUUGAUAGUUUAAAACAACUUAUUUAGUUUGCUUUGCUUUGUGUGCCCUAUCAAAAUAGUGUGUGGUGUGGUCUAUGCUUCUGCAGUGUGAAAUGUACAGAGUGUAAACUCUUUGCGAAGUUAUGCUUUCAGAUUCCUCUGGCAGAAACCUUUCCUUCUUUGUGAAAGUAAGACAUGAAAAUUUUCUCUUGAUUUCUAAAUAUAGGAGGUAUAUUGCUGAA
This is a long non-coding RNA of Coffea arabica (coffee), 688 nucleotides long. RefSeq lists it as uncharacterized. The record is from RefSeq and is a predicted model, not a curated record. Lineage: Eukaryota; Viridiplantae; Streptophyta; Magnoliopsida; Gentianales; Rubiaceae.